GAUGAACGCUGGCGGCGUGCCUAAUACAUGCAAGUCGAGCGAACAGACGAGGAGCUUGCUCCUCUGACGUUAGCGGCGGACGGGUGAGUAACACGUGGAUAACCUACCUAUAAGACUGGGAUAACUUCGGGAAACCGGAGCUAAUACCGGAUAAUAUAUUGAACCGCAUGGUUCAAUAGUGAAAGACGGUUUUGCUGUCACUUAUAGAUGGAUCCGCGCCGCAUUAGCUAGUUGGUAAGGUAACGGCUUACCAAGGCGACGAUGCGUAGCCGACCUGAGAGGGUGAUCGGCCACACUGGAACUGAGACACGGUCCAGACUCCUACGGGAGGCAGCAGUAGGGAAUCUUCCGCAAUGGGCGAAAGCCUGACGGAGCAACGCCGCGUGAGUGAUGAAGGUCUUCGGAUCGUAAAGCUCUGUUAUUAGGGAAGAACAAAAGUGUAAGUAACUAUGCACGUCUUGACGGUACCUAAUCAGAAAGCCACGACUAACUACGUG
RNAcentral lists this ribosomal RNA (497 nucleotides) under uncultured bacterium. RNAcentral's name for it is "partial 16S ribosomal RNA". It matches the Rfam family "Bacterial small subunit ribosomal RNA", at positions 28 to 507 of the family's 1533-position model. The record is from RNAcentral.